GUGUCAGCAGCCGCGGUAAUACGAAGGGGGCUAGCGUUGCUCGGAAUUACUGGGCGUAAAGGGCGCGUAGGCGGAUGUUUAAGUCAGCGGUGAAAGCCCAGGGCUCAACCUUGGAACUGCCAUUGAUACUGGACAUCUUGAGUACGGGAGAGGUGAGUGGAACACCGAGUGUAGAGGUGAAAUUCGUAGAUAUUCGGUAGAACACCAGUGGCGAAGGCGACUCACUGGCCCGUUACUGACGCUGAGGCGCGAAAGCGUGGGGAGCAAACAGGAUUAGAUACCCUGGUAGUCC
RNAcentral lists this ribosomal RNA (292 nucleotides) under uncultured bacterium. RNAcentral's name for it is "partial 16S ribosomal RNA". It matches the Rfam family "Bacterial small subunit ribosomal RNA", at positions 505 to 796 of the family's 1533-position model. The record is from RNAcentral.